Long non-coding RNA from Chinchilla lanigera (long-tailed chinchilla), 587 nucleotides. RefSeq lists it as uncharacterized. Lineage: Eukaryota; Metazoa; Chordata; Mammalia; Rodentia; Chinchillidae. The transcript has 2 exons. The record is from RefSeq and is a predicted model, not a curated record.
ACAAAAACAGAAAUAAUUUCUAUUUUACUUGAAGAUUGCUGACAAAUUCUGUUCAAAACUCCUUCCCUUUAUAACACAACUGUUCUCUGCUGCAGCCUACAGAACCAGCCUCCUUCCACUCCCUAGUCUUCCUGCCUUUGCCCUUGGCUUUCUCCAGGACAAGCACUGUUUCAUCCUAUGGCAUCUGUGCUCCAAGUCCUGCCUGUUUCUCAGGAUGGACAGUGCUGAGAGCAGCAUCAGAGUGAACGAAGACGGCAGGGGCACCUUGUGCUUAUAAUGUGUUCAUUCAGCAGAACAUGCCACCCCCAUGCACCCCAGCCUAUUUCUCCAGUGUGUAUCCUGCCUGGCCAGCACAGGGAGCACAUUUGAUAUACUGCCUAGUGAGGUAAUUUCCAAGCUGUCAAAAAGAUAUUCUCUUUUAUUGAAAAAUUUCCACGGAAAAUCAGGCAGGAAAUGAUCUAAAUUUGUAAUGCAUGUUGAGAAAACAGACUCCUACAAAGUAGGACAGAAAAGAAAACUAGAAAAGUGCUGAGUAAGUACUUCUGAACUGUGAAGAGCAUGACUUAAAUAAAGCUCUAAAAGUAAAA